GAUGAAGAACGCAGCGUAAUGCGAUACGUAAUGUGAAUUGCAGAAUUCAGUGAAUCAUCGAAUCUUUGAACGCACAUUGCGCCCGCCAGCACUCUGGCGGGCAUGCCUGUUCGAGCGUCAUUUCAACCAUCAAGCCCCAGGCUUGCGUUGGAGCCCUGCGGCUGCCGCAGCCUCCUAAAAGCAGUGGCGGGCUCGCUAUCACACCGAGUGCAGUAGAUUACUCUUCGCUCAGGGCGUGCAGCGGGUUCCGGCCGUGAAACCCCCUACUUUUAAAGGUUGACCUCGGAUCAGGUAGGAAUACCCGCUGAACUUAAGCAUAUCAAUAAGCGGAGGA
Molecule: unclassified non-coding RNA, 334 nt
Filed under: soil metagenome
Description: partial contains 5.8S ribosomal RNA, internal transcribed spacer 2, and large subunit ribosomal RNA
Rfam family: 5.8S ribosomal RNA (bases 1-120)
Source: RNAcentral